CAAGUCUACUUGCAUUUGGGUUUUUAACUUCGAUUUGGGUGGCGGACGGGUGAGUAACGCGUAAAGAACUUGCCUCACAGCUAGGGACAACAUUUGGAAACGAAUGCUAAUACCUGAUAUUAUGAUUAUAGGGCAUCCUAGAAUUAUGAAAGCUAUAUGCGCUGUGAGAGAGCUUUGCGUCCCAUUAGCUAGUUGGAGAGGUAACGGCUCACCAAGGCGAUGAUGGGUAGCCGGCCUGAGAGGGUGAACGGCCACAAGGGGACUGAGACACGGCCCUUACUCCUACGGGAGGCAGCAGUGGGGAAUAUUGGACAAUGGACCGAGAGUCUGAUCCAGCAAUUCUGUGUGCACGAUGACGUUUUUCGGAAUGUAAAGUGCUUUCAGUUGGGAAGAAAAAAAUGACGGUACCAACAGAAGAAGUGACGGCUAAAUACGUGCCAGCAGCCGCGGUAAUACGUAUGUCACGAGCGUUAUCCGGAUUUAUUGGGCGUAAAGCGCGUCUAGGUGGUUAUGUAAGUCUGAUGUGAAAAUGCAGGGCUCAACUCUGUAUUGCGUUGGAAACUGUGUAACUAGAGUACUGGAGAGGUAAGCGGAACUACAAGUGUAGAGGUGAAAUUCGUAGAUAUUUGUAGGAAUGCCGAUGGGGAAGCCAGCUUACUGGACAGAUACUGACGCUGAAGCGCGAAAGCGUGGGUAGCAAACAGGAUUAGAUACCCUGGUAGUCCACGCCGUAAACGAUGAUUACUAGGUGUUGGGGGUCGAACCUCAGCGC
RNAcentral lists this ribosomal RNA (772 nucleotides) under uncultured Fusobacteriota bacterium. Its description in RNAcentral is "bacterial SSU rRNA". It matches the Rfam family "Bacterial small subunit ribosomal RNA", at positions 58 to 846 of the family's 1533-position model. The record is from RNAcentral. Lineage: Bacteria; Fusobacteriati; Fusobacteriota.